AGCGGCGGACGGGUGAGUAACGCGUAGGCAACCUGCCUCACACAGAGGGAUAGCCAUUGGAAACGAUGAUUAAAACCUCAUAAUGCUUUUUCAACUCAUGUUGAGAAAGCCAAAGAUUUAUCGGUGUGAGAUGGGCCUGCGUCUGAUUAGCUAGUUGGUGAGGUAACGGCUCACCAAGGCAGCGAUCAGUAGCCGACCUGAGAGGGUGAUCGGCCACAUUGGAACUGAGACACGGUCCAAACUCC
RNAcentral lists this ribosomal RNA (245 nucleotides) under uncultured Anaerovoracaceae bacterium. RNAcentral's name for it is "uncultured Clostridiales Family XIII bacterium partial 16S ribosomal RNA". It matches the Rfam family "Bacterial small subunit ribosomal RNA", at positions 94 to 339 of the family's 1533-position model. The record is from RNAcentral. Lineage: Bacteria; Bacillati; Bacillota; Clostridia; Peptostreptococcales; Anaerovoracaceae.